Molecule: ribosomal RNA, 484 nt
Filed under: uncultured bacterium
Lineage: Bacteria
Description: partial 16S ribosomal RNA
Rfam family: Bacterial small subunit ribosomal RNA
Source: RNAcentral
AUUGAACGCUGGCGGCAGGCCUAACACAUGCAAGUCGAGCGGAUGAAGGGAGCUUGCUCCUGGAUUCAGCGGCGGACGGGUGAGUAAUGCCUAGGAAUCUGCCUGGUAGUGGGGGAUAACGUCCGGAAACGGGCGCUAAUACCGCAUACGUCCUGAGGGAGAAAGUGGGGGAUCUUCGGACCUCACGCUAUCAGAUGAGCCUAGGUCGGAUUAGCUAGUUGGUGGGGUAAAGGCCUACCAAGGCGACGAUCCGUAACUGGUCUGAGAGGAUGAUCAGUCACACUGGAAGUGAGACACGGCCAGGACCCAUGAGGGAGGAAGAAGGGGGGAAUAUGGGACAAUGGGCGAAAGCCUGACCCAGCCAUGCGGGGUGUGGGAAGAGGGUCUUCGGAUUGUAAAGCACUUUAAGUGGGGAGAAAGGGAAGUAAGUUAAUACCUUGCUGUUUGGACGUUACCAAAAAAAAAAGCCCCGGCUACCUUCGGG